RNAcentral lists this ribosomal RNA (607 nucleotides) under uncultured bacterium. RNAcentral's name for it is "bacterial SSU rRNA". The stretch from base 1 to 540 matches the Rfam family "Bacterial small subunit ribosomal RNA", at positions 338 to 873 of the family's 1533-position model. The record is from RNAcentral.
CCUACGGGAGGCAGCAGUGGGGAAUAUUGGACAAUGGGCGCAAGCCUGAUCCAGCAAUACCGCGUGUGUGAAGAAGGCCUGAGGGUUGUAAAGCACUUUCAAUGGGGAGGAACACCUUAGGGCGAAUACCCUUAAGACUGACAUUACCCCAUACAAGAAGCACCGGCUAACUCCGUGCCAGCAGCCGCGGUAAUACGGAGGGUGCAAGCGUUAAUCGGAAUUACUGGGCGUAAAGCGUGCGUAGGCGGCCUGUUAAGUCAGAUGUGAAAGCCCUGGGCUCAACCUGGGAACUGCAUUUGAAACUGGCGGGCUAGAGUUAGGUAGAGGGGAGUGGAAUUUCAGGUGUAGCGGUGAAAUGCGUAGAUAUCUGAAGGAACACCAGUGGCGAAGGCGGCUCCCUGGACCCAAACUGACGCUGAGGUACGAAAGCGUGGGUAGCAAACAGGAUUAGAUACCCUGGUAGUCCACGCCGUAAACGAUGUCGACUAGCCGUUGGGCCCUUUUAGGGUUUAGUGGCGCNGCUACGCAUAGUCGACCGCCGUGGAGACGCGCGAGUAAACGUACAAGAGUAGAGCGNGAGAGNGCGAGGACGACGACGAGGGAGAGG